Oryzias sinensis (Chinese medaka) is the source of this 2946-nucleotide long non-coding RNA. Lineage: Eukaryota; Metazoa; Chordata; Actinopteri; Beloniformes; Adrianichthyidae. The record is from Ensembl.
CACCAGGUCUGUUCCCUGAAUACUCAAACUCCAUUGGUUAACACAAAAAAUAUAACUUUCCCAUGGCUUUGGUCAGUGAAAAAUAUUUUUUUAACAAAUUCCCACUUUCUGUUCUAACUGCUGUUUCUCAACCACCCAUAGUCUCGUUUCAAACACUAUGAAAUGACAAUAUCUUUUCCUUGUUUGAGCUGGUAUCUUACUCAAAACUGUACAGCUGGAUAGCUUAAAUAUUGCUCACUAUUCUUGCUGCACUUCCCUCUAGCUUACAGCCCCUCACACCCCCAACCUAACAUUAACAGUGCAACAGUUUUGGGCCUGAUGUCAGCUCGGACGAGGAAAACAAAGACGACCAUGGAUCCAUUUGUCUGCAAGGAAGCACCAGAAUGGAGUAGAGCAGGGAGCUUGUGACCUUGCCGAUUGGAAUGAGUCACAGCUUCAAGCUUUCUCCAAUGUCAAUUUUUCCUCUGCUCCUGAUUCACAACAAUUUGUACAAAGAAAUGCUCAGAAAUGCAAUUUACACCUUAAUUUUCUUUAUACCUGCCUACAAAUAUGCUGAAAGAACAUGUUAAAAACACAGUUUUCAUUGGAGUGACUUUUUAAAGGAAAGUUAAACAUUCAAUGGAAAAGAUUUUUUUUCAUGCUCUGUUACAAACUAAGAUUGAUUAUGUUUAUAAUCUUCUAUUCCUCAAGAUCUUAUGUAUUUUAUUUGAUUAUAUUAAAUCUCCUGUUUAGAGUUACUAUCGUUAGAAUAUCAGAAUAGCAUAUAUUUAUAGUUGUUGUCUGGGGUUCCAGCAGGGGGCAGUGUUGUAACAACAAGACAACAAAACGCUGCUGAGAGUCAGCGAAGAAGAGCAGCGACACAGGAGGAAGCUUUCCAGCUGUCUCCCCUCGACUUCUACUCAAGAAAACAGUACAUUUUAGUGUUUUGAAAGGCGUGAAGACACCGAUGAGCGCCAUGUCCCAGAAGAGAGACCUUAGAGUCUCCCCUUCGGUUCCCAGAAUCCGUGACGACUCCAGACUCAUGCGCAUGCACGAGUCCAUGGUGGAUUACCUGACCGGGCGCUCCACCUGCGGUACCUUCAUGCACAUGCUCGCUCCCUCUUUUUUCGGUUUAAAUGUUUUUGAGACGUUUGGGGACGACCUGGUCUAUUCAGAGGAGGAGGACGAGGGUCUGCACUCCCAUCUCUUUAACUCUUUAGAGCCACACCCACAAAUCCGGCAGCUGAAUGACGAGGAGGAGGCUGCGUUUACCAAAGAGGAGAGGGAGGAGGACGCUCGCCGCAGGGACCGGGCUGAGAAGAAUAAGCGGAAAAAAAUGGUGGGCAUCUCCACGCCAGCUUUGAAAAUGGCCGCAUCGACGGAUGCCCCUGACAUGAGUGUUUUCAUCUGUUGCAGCGUAAAAAAGCAAAGAAACGUCUGGAAAAAGAAAACGCACUCAGAGACACGUCACUUGUGAGUUGAUGUGAAUUAUUUCAGCUGGUUUCAAAAGCAUUUCGGCCGUCGUGACGCUCACCAUCCAUCUUUGCCCUUUCAGGUGGAAAAUCAUGACGACGAAGACUCAGAAAAUCCAGAGUCACCUUUUAACCUCGAUGAAAACUCUCAGAGGACUGCUGAGGCAACAGGAAGUGAUGAAGCUGGCAAAGAAGAUGAUGUGAGAGCGAAGAAGAACGGACGCCAUCUGUUAAAGGUCUGUCCGUUCUGCAGUGUGCAAAAUGUUUAUUUCAUUUAAACUUGAAGAAACUCUUAGAUUGAUCGUUCUGAUGAGGCCCAGCUAGACAUGUCGUCUGCGACCCGCUCUGUGACCCCCGGUAUCGCUAGGACCGCUUUUCUCUGCAUUAGAAUCCGGUGAUUCAUGUUGAUUGCAUAAUCACUGUUGUGCAUAUCGGUGCUUUUCUCCGUCUCAGAAUCUGCUGGAAUUAUGUUAAAUGUGGAAACGGUUGAAGAGUUUUGGUGGUCAAGAGAAUGCAAACAGUGGAGCUUUACCGGUGGUAAAGGUUCAGGGACCUGCCUUGGUAACAGGGUGCUGUGGAUUUUUGGGCUGUCUGGGUCCGUAGAGGGCUGUUGAGAGGAGUGGCUGCAUCUUAAGAGGAGAGCAGGUGUAUCUUUCAGGUUCCUUACGGCUCCUGCGUCCACCUCAUGAAAGUGGAAUAUACCACUGCCGUGCGUGUGGUGAGUGUAUCGUCAAACACUCGUAAGGAUAAUGGAGGCUGCACACUUGAUGCUGUGGCACAGUGUCCUUUACGGCAGCACUCCAGUCAUUAGGAAGGUGUGUGCACUGGCUCCUACUGAGCAUGUGCAAGGAUGCACGCACGGCAUGAACAUCAGUCCACUGCUGGUCUGCUGAAGGGCCUACAGGAAAAUGUUCAUAAUCCUACUGAGAUUAAGGAAGUUCAGUCUGCUCUUCAAGUCUUCAGGCUGCAGUUUGUGAUUGUUUCAGGAGUUCCUCCCUCCAUGUCCAUGCCUGUGGCCCUUUCAGCAAACCUUUCUCACGGUGUGACCAGCUUCCUGCAGCCUCCUGGUGCUGCUCUAACCCUUGUGCUGUCCUAGACACUUUAACACUGGGAGUUGGGUCAUCUAGACUCUACAGUGUUUUUCAACCAGUGUGAGAUGGUCAAGUGUGCCGUGGGCAAUGACCCAUUUUCACUAAUCUAAAAGCAUUUCCCAUCUCCAGGAUUUCAGCUCUGUGUUCAUCCAAACAGGUCCUGAUAAAACACUGAGGAGUUAGGAGUAUAAAAGAUCAUAAAAUACUUUUUUAUUUGUGUUUGAUUCUAUUAUAGACAUUUGGAUAAGAAUGACAGUACCGUGAUUUAGCUGUAGCUAAAGCUGUUUUUGGAAAAGUCCCGCCCCUUUAACUGUCUCCGCCAAUCAUUCUUGGAGUCUUAAUCACGUCAUCAGUCUGACCAAUCAGAAGUGGUUAAAGUCUUCACUUCCUUGUUCAGAUUCUGC